This is an unclassified non-coding RNA of Macaca mulatta (Rhesus monkey), 117 nucleotides long. It matches the Rfam family "Metazoan signal recognition particle RNA". From Rfam's summary of the family: The signal recognition particle (SRP) is a universally conserved ribonucleoprotein. It is involved in the co-translational targeting of proteins to membranes. Lineage: Eukaryota; Metazoa; Chordata; Mammalia; Primates; Cercopithecidae. The record is from Ensembl.
GCCGGGUGCGGUGGCUCACGCCUGUAAUCCCAGCACUUUGGGAGGCUGAGGUGGGUGGAUCACCUGAGGUCGGGAGUUCAAGACCAGCCUGACCAACAUGGAGAAACCCCAUCUCUA